This 777-nucleotide ribosomal RNA is filed under the name uncultured archaeon. RNAcentral describes it as "bacterial SSU rRNA". It matches the Rfam family "Archaeal small subunit ribosomal RNA", at positions 122 to 903 of the family's 1478-position model. The record is from RNAcentral.
GGGGAUAACCCCUGGGAAACUGGGGCUAAUACCGGAUAGAGCAUUGACCGCUGGAAUGCGCGAUGCUCGAAAGCUGAGGCGCCAAAGGAUAGGUCUGCGGCCGAUUAGGUUGUUGUUGAUGUAACGGAUCAACAAGCCUACGAUCGGUAUGGGUUGUGAGAGCAAUAGCCCAGAGAUGGGUUCUGAGAUAAGAACCCAGGUCCUACGGGACGCAUCAGGCGCGAAAACUUUACAAUGUGCGAAAGCACGAUAAGGGAACUCUGAGUGCCUCCAAAGGAGGCUGUUCAGGUGUCUAAAAAGCAUCUGAAGUAAGGGCUGGGCAAGACCGGUGCCAGCCGCCGCGGUAACACCGGCAGCCCAAGUGGUGGCCACUUUUACUGGGUCUAAAGCGUUCGUAGCCGGCUAAAUAAGUUCCUUGGGAAAUUUGAUCGCUUAACGAUCAAGCUUUCAGGGAAUACUGCUUGGCUUGGGACCGGGAGAGGUCAGAGGUACCUCAGGGGUAGGGGUGAAAUCCGUUAAUCCUUGGGGGACCGCCAGUAGCGAAGGCGUCUGACCAGACCGGAUCCGACGGUGAGGGACGAAGGCUAGGGUAGCGAACCGGAUUAGAUACCCGGGUAGUCCUAGCUGUAAACGAUGCGGGCUAGGUGUUGGCAUUACUGCGAGUGAUGCCAGUGCCGAAGGGAAGCCGUUAAGCCCGCCAUCUGGGGAGUACGGUCGCAAGGCUGAAACUUAAAGGAAUUGGCGGGGGAGCACUACAACGGGUGGAGCCUGCGGUUC